GUGCGGCUGGAUCACCUCCUUUCU
This 24-nucleotide non-coding RNA is filed under the name Mycobacterium intracellulare. RNAcentral also lists the same sequence under 6 other names. Lineage: Bacteria; Bacillati; Actinomycetota; Actinomycetes; Mycobacteriales; Mycobacteriaceae. The record is from RNAcentral.